CCUACGGGUGGCAGCAGUGAGGAAUAUUGGUCAAUGGCCGGAAGGCUGAACCAGCCAUGCCGCGUGAAGGUCAGUGCCCUAUGGGCGUUAAACUUCUUUUGUGCGGGAGCAAUAAUGGUCACGUGUGGCCAGACGAGAGUACCGUACGAAUAAGCAUCGGCUAACUCCGUGCCAGCAGCCGCGGUAAUACGGGGGAUGCAAGCGUUAUCCGGAUUUAUUGGGUUUAAAGGGUGCGUAGGCUGUGAGGUAAGUCAGCGGUGAAAUGCCCCCGCACAACGGGGUGAAGUGCCAUUGAUACUGCCAUGCUAGAAUGCGGAAGACGUGGGAGGAAUGUUUGGUGUAGCGGUAAAAUCCAUAGAGAUCAAACAGAAUACCGAUUGCGAAGGCGACCUGCGAAUCCGUGACUGACGCUGAUGCGCGAAAGCGUGGGGAGCAAACAGGAUUAGAUACCCCGGUAGUC
This 460-nucleotide ribosomal RNA is filed under the name uncultured bacterium. Its description in RNAcentral is "partial 16S ribosomal RNA". It matches the Rfam family "Bacterial small subunit ribosomal RNA", at positions 338 to 795 of the family's 1533-position model. The record is from RNAcentral.